This 3094-nucleotide ribosomal RNA is filed under the name Triticum aestivum (bread wheat). RNAcentral's name for it is "partial small subunit ribosomal RNA". Lineage: Eukaryota; Viridiplantae; Streptophyta; Magnoliopsida; Poales; Poaceae. The record is from RNAcentral.
CGCCGCCGGACGCGCGCCCCCCAAUUUCGUCCCAAAAACCGCAGAUCGGAGAGGGCAACAGCGGAGGAGAGAGGGGUGAGGCUCGGGGGAGAGGAGGGGCGGAAGGCGCGGCGGAGCGGGGCGGAGCUCUACGCCUCGGAGCGGCAGCGCUCGGGGCAGGGCGGUCGGCGGCGGGUAGCUGCCUCCGAGGCCGGCAGGCGGAGGCCGUCCCUUCAUCAAAGUGUUACAAACUUCACACUCUAUUUAGUCCUGGCUGGAUACCCUCGAGAUUCCUAUCCAGUGAGAGUUCCUUUAAACGGUUCUGUACCAAGCUUCUUAGACGAGUGUGGUCGACGACGGUAAAGUCAACUUGUUCAACUUCAGUCAUGGAUAGAAGGUUUUCCACUAUACACCAGACACGUGUUCAAACCACCGUGAACGUACCCUUGUGGAGUCUCUUAAGUCUUACAACGACUACAUCAAGAACCACUGAGAAGGCUCUCCUUCGACUAUUAACAGAGACGUUACAGGUUUCAAUGACUGUACUACAUGUCAGAGCACGUAUUCCGAGUCAGUUCCCUACUAAGAAUGUGUCUUCUUAACCUAUUUCAAAAACUCUUCGUAUACCGACGUCGCUUUCUAGAAGAACUACCUCUUUUGGAACGUUCUAAAAACAGAGUCAACGUAAGCCUGUAGUCAUUGGACUCUCGUUACGAAGCACGAUAAAUAUAUCGACCUGUACGUUGUCUUAGAAAGAGACUUAAGCAACAACCCGUACCCCUCAACACCAGUAGAGUCUACGAUAGCAUACGACACGUCUUCAGACCUCGUAGAACAUCAACCUACCUAUGUUCUCUUCAAGAUCAACAUUUUGGAUCACCAGGACUGUACCAUCUAGGACUAAUACUCCUUAGACUCUUCGCUGAGCUCUUUACCAAAAGUGCGGUUGGACGACUCUAUUAUCAACGAUGACCGAAAUAGCGCUCAUGUCGACUUUUGUAGGGAUGAUGAGACUUUUCCCUACCUUCGCUAAAGAGUCGUCGUUAUUAACCAAGAGAACAAUCCCGUGCGGUCCAGUGUUAGACCUGGCUACAACUACCCCAUAAAUCACGGCUAGGAUCUUUUCAGUCGCUCCGACACUAGAAUUCGUGUAAUAGUAUAGUCCUCCGGACCCUUUACAGUAUGAAACCUCGUUUACACAACGUAGGGGCAUGGUAAUAUGGACACUACUUUCUGUUAUAAGGGUAACAGUAAUCCUUGUACAAGUUAGAGAGACGGGGACCUUGACACUAAACGUUCGUCGGACGAUUGCUUCUACGACUAGACCUACGAACACAGUUUAGUAAACGAUGAUAUCUAUUUAACCGGGAACAAUUGCAACUUCCUUGACCUUACCGACCACAAGGUCCAUGUAGUUCACGGUAUAAAUCACGACAUUUUCUCCAGCCUCGAUUACAAUAGUACUAUAGAGUCCGAUCGUCACUUGUGAGCUAUACAAAACGACAAGGUCUUUUCCUUCAACGUCGUCAGAGACGUCGGAACGUACAAUCCAAAGCACUCCGUAAUCGUCGUCCUUCCGAGAGAUUCCAACUUCAGUAAGUACUAACGUCGUAAGAACGACGACAACCGGACUCUUACCGUUCAUGAGGACCUCAGUCACGUUAGGAAAAACUACGCGAUCGUUUCCGUUUGUAAUUACAUGCUCGUUAUCGAGUUCCAACGUCACUCAUGUUAUAAUGACAACAUAACUUCGUUCUUCUAACACAGUCCCGAGAUUCUCGACGAGUGAGUUCCAAGAAGGAGAGUUUUUGGUGUGAACGAUAACCCCAGUAACCUGGACCAAACUAACCCCGUUGUGACGAGUUGGUCGAGUCCCUGGUCCAUCGUCAGGACUUCCUUUUAUACUUAUAACUACACGCACAGUAGCCUUAUUGACCGCGUUCGUGCUACGAAAACUCACUGUGCCCUCAUCUGGAUUGGUCCACCUUUCUUCUUUACGUUUUCCUUCGUUUUGGUCGACUAGAACGAUUAAAACAAGCGGUAAACAGACUCCUGGUACACAAAGGUUUGUUUCAUAACCACCUGACGUGUCGUCUAUGUUUACACCGUAGAGUGAUGAUACUAACCAACUUCUUCCCAUAGGUACAGUAGUGUGGCUUAUUUUUUCGUUUAAGACCAGGUGAACUAGCCAUAGACUUUGAUUCCUGAGAUGUCGCACGUAGUAUAUGAGUAAUGAAAAUACUUCGUUGACAACCACGUCCGGACGGUUAUUAAUCGUGGGACGCUCCAGAAGACCUCUGUCCACUGUUCUAUAACGCAUAACUUCCGUAAAAGUCACCUUGAGACUCAAUAUAAAAGUUGUUAAAACUUCCUUGUUCCUCGAAAUCACUACAACAACGACUUCGUUUUCUUCGACCUAUGUGACUCGGUCUGGGUUCUCUACUAGAUAGACCUUGUCUACAACGGUCUUUCCAGUAAUAGGAACGUUCCCUCAGACCAAACUCUGAACUCGAAAGCCUAUAGGGCCAUCUCUCGGAACACGGUCUCCGCGAUUUCAGUACGAGCAGCGGUUUACUUAAGUACGUUUUCGAUGGUAGCAAACUGGUCCUAACCCGGUCUGUCGCGGUACUCCGACUCCGACGUCCGCUUCAUGACGCCAUACACCCUCACCACCUGCACGACUUGCCUUUCCCUUCCCAUCUUGACGUCUCCAUGUUCUCCCUGGUGGGUAAACGGGUCGAUAGACCAAGGCUGUUGUAGUAGCGGAAGUGGUGAAGCUCCAUGUUCCUCGUCGGCGACUAGCACGCUCCCGGCCCGCGUCCGCGCCUCCACUGACGGCCUCCGCAGAAGACGCUGUAGGACGCCGACCGCAGGAUGGAGCCGCGGGGGAGUAUCUGUAGACGCGGACAUAACCAUCUAAAAGACCCCAUCUGCCUGCCGUUGAACAUGAGAAGAACGUGUUAUAACCUGAACCAUCGUAAAACAAGACUUACGAACGCUCCUUUCGUUUAUUCCACAAAACAAAACAAAACAAACGGUGGGUCAGGGUCCGGUACGGUGUUGACAAUGAUUUAAUAGUUACGUUAUUAUUUCUUCCCUUACGGAGAAAGAUGUU